AUGUUCAUGAUCGAUUUGCAAUCACAAUGGUUACAUCCUCAAAAUCACUCUUUGUUAUCGAAAGAAAGGGGCCUAUAAAUUCAGAGACGAAUCUACAAUUUCUAAAAGAUGAGUUCACUACUAAAGAAAGGAGGAAAAAAAUGCUUCAAGUGGGGAUUGAUCGUUGAACCUUUAGAAAAGUUCAAGAACCUCCAUUGUUAAUCAAGGAUCAAAAGGAGAAGGCAUAUAGGAGUUCGUUCGUUCAAGGUUUGCAUUUUUUAGAGCUUCUUACUUCUUUUUGCUGAUUUGUGGGAUUCGUUCACGGUUGGCUUUAUAAUACUUAUGGAGGCCUCUCUUAGGCCUAAUAUUGCUCAAGCAUGGAACAAAAGAAAGAAAUUUUAUUUUAAUUUAACCAAUGACUAUUCUUUUUUUCCCAUUAAAGUCUUUUAGCCACUCUGUUAGUUUUGUUCUUUUAGUCUCACUGUUAGAUAGGUGAAUAUGUUGGAGUGCAUUAGCUUAUUUGAAUUUGUUAAGUUUAGAGCAAGAGAAUAAUGCAAACUAAGUUAGAUAGUUAAUCAGGUUAGCCUACUUACCUUAGCAGAUGCUUUUGGUAAUAGGAUGUUGGUCCUAAUUCACGGUUAAUAGAAGUCAUUAAUUCAAUUUAAUUACUGGAUGAUAUUUCAUUUUAGAUGGUCAAUACUUCUAUUUUAAAAGCUUCUAGAGAUGGACUUCGUUUCUCUUGAAAAAUUUUAGUAUUCUAGGGAAGAAGCUCGUAACAAUGGGUAAUCUUAUUCUUUCUCUAAUUGAGUACUUCUAGGUUCUAUUGUCAUAUGGAAACAACUUGUCAUCAUGUAAGCUCUAACGCGUGUUAAUCUUUCUGUCAGAUAGCACAAUAUGAAUAAAAUAAUGUCACUUGAAGUAUUAAAAGUUUGUGUUUUGUAAUGAAUCUGAUUUUGAAUGUACUGUUUCAAGAAUUUGGUCAGUAGUUAAGCUAGUAUUACUGUAGAAAUCAGAUUAUUUUUAACUUUAAGUAAUUGUGUGUUAUAAGCAGUAUCCACUUUUUAAUUAUGUUCUUAUAUCUUGUAAUUUGUGUGUUGGACAUCUUAUAUUUUGUAUCUAAGCUUUAUCAUGUUCUGAAUUCUUUCACGAGCUAAUUUUUUUUUCAACGUUGUGCGAGGCAUACAUCGUCCACCAAAUUCAUGGGAAAUAUUUAAGAAGCUGCAUAAAAGAAAAGAUGGCAGCUUUGUUGAUACCAAGUCUAACAACAUUAAUGUUGACAUCCUUUCUAUCAAUGAUAAAUGUGUGUAGGAUGAAAUGGAGGCUAGGGUGGCUGCUGCUAUAUCAGGCUCAUCAGAUGAUUCACCAGAAGUCCACGAACUCGAUGUAAAUCGCAUAUACUUAGAUGUUGUAGGUGGAGAGAAAAAACGACGUGUGUAUGGAUUGGGCUCUCAAGCUCUCAAGCUUUGAGUUUGUAUCAAGACUGCAAUUCUGCUACUUCAUAAAAUUUGUCUGUGGUGACUGAUCGUGCUGCUGAAGAACGCUUCAAACUUCUUGAGGAAGAGAUGUUGCGUAUGAGAGAAAAUCAAGAGAGAAUUCUUCAAGAGCGUGUGGAGGCAAAGGUGCAACGUCUUGAGGAGGAGGUGAAACAACGUAUAGAGCAAGAGGUAUCGCGUUUCACGCAAGAAAGUGAUGAUCGGUUUAAGUCUAUAGAGGAUCGAUGGUCUCGCAUGAUGAGCGAGAUGGCGCUAUCUUCUCGAUCAUCUGGCGAUCCCACUCUUUCUUUAGUUACUUGGAAACUCUUUUAACGUUAUCAAAACUUUUGUUAGUUGGAUGCUUUGUAAGUUUUGAUAUUUGUAGACUUUUGCUUAUUGAAGUUGUGUUUUUGCACGUUUUAACUUCAUGCUUUUGUAUUGUAAAUUUAA
Lycium barbarum (goji berry) is the source of this 1901-nucleotide long non-coding RNA. RefSeq lists it as uncharacterized. NCBI's taxonomy places the organism in Eukaryota, Viridiplantae, Streptophyta, Magnoliopsida, Solanales, Solanaceae. The record is from RefSeq and is a predicted model, not a curated record. The transcript is spliced from 3 exons.